UAAGACAGAGGUGCCGAGCGUUAGGCGGAAUCACUGGGCUUAAAGCGUGUGUAGGCGGGUCGUUAAGUGUCCGUGUGAAAUCCCCCGGCUCAACCGGGGAACGGCCGGGCAUACUGGCGACCUUGAGGCACCCAGGGGCUGUCGGAACAAGCGGUGGAGCGGUGAAAUGCGUAGAUAUCGCUUGGAACGCCGGCGGUGAAAACGGACAGCUGGGGGUGUGCUGACGCUGAGACACGAAAGCCAGGGGAGCGAACGGGAUUAGAUACCCCGGUAGUCCUGGCCGUAAACGAUGUCGACUAGGUCGCGGCGCCCCCUGACGGGCGUCGCGGCCGCAGCAAAAGUGCUAAGUCGACCGCCUGGGAAGUACGGUCGCAAGGCUA
RNAcentral lists this ribosomal RNA (380 nucleotides) under uncultured bacterium. RNAcentral describes it as "bacterial SSU rRNA". It matches the Rfam family "Bacterial small subunit ribosomal RNA", at positions 521 to 896 of the family's 1533-position model. The record is from RNAcentral.